UCCCUGGUGUCUCAGCUGGUAAAGAAUCCACCUGCAAUGUGGGAGACCUGGGUUCGACCCCUGGGUUGGGAA
This 72-nucleotide transfer RNA is filed under the name Ovis aries (sheep). It matches the Rfam family "tRNA". Rfam says of the family: Transfer RNA (tRNA) molecules are approximately 80 nucleotides in length. Lineage: Eukaryota; Metazoa; Chordata; Mammalia; Artiodactyla; Bovidae. The record is from Rfam by way of RNAcentral.